RNAcentral lists this non-coding RNA (212 nucleotides) under Clostridium cellulovorans. RNAcentral describes it as "T-box sequence". It matches the Rfam family "T-box leader". From Rfam's summary of the family: Uncharged tRNA acts as the effector for transcription antitermination of genes in the T-box leader family. T-boxes are found upstream of many aminoacyl-tRNA synthetase genes and some amino acid biosynthetic genes usually in Gram-positive bacteria. Lineage: Bacteria; Bacillati; Bacillota; Clostridia; Eubacteriales; Clostridiaceae. The record is from RNAcentral.
AUUAAAUCGUUGAAUGGGAAAAGUAGACCUUACCCAGUUAUAAGAGAGGAAGAUCCUUGGGCUGUAAGAUUUUCUUAAUAUGAAAGGUUGAAAACCACCUAUGAGUAUAAUUCUGAACUAACAGUAAGAAUUAUCGCUAGCUACGUUACAGCCUUAAGUGGAUUUUUAUCAAUUUGGGUGGAACUGCGGGAAAAUAUACUCUCGUCCCUUUC